AUGAAAGUCGUGGCGUCCCUCGCUCCCUUUGUCAACUUCCUGCCUCUUGCUGACAGAAUCUACGUGGAAAUGCGUGACGCCGGUGGAGCAGCGCGGGCGGUGGAGACUCAGCCGAAGUGCCGUUUGUCUCAGAGCAAACUUUGGAAGAAAGUUCUGAACAUUCGACUCGUGACAAGCAUCCAGAAAGCACGUCCAGAAGACGGGAAUCUCCCUAUCUCCGCUCCUGAACUGGACUCCACAGCAGGGGGUGCUGUUGCAGAAACAGCUGGAAUGGAUCAGCUAGCAGACGGUGCCGAAACCCAGCCAGGGCUGGUGUCUGAUGAGGAAGACGUUGACGCUUCUUUCCUUCUGCCAGAUUACUUUGAGAUCUUAGAUUCAUUUGAUAAUCAGACUCAAACCAAAGGCUUCAAAGACGAGCUCUCCAAAAGCCGUGAUGGACCAGUUCGGGAAGAUUCAAAUCCAGAACAAGCAGCCGAUUCUGUAAAAGUACAGGAAGAGCGGGAGCCUGAUGAGGUUAAAGGAGGAACCAGAGAAGACGAUGGAUCCACCAGGAGGAGCGAAUCACCCAAAAACCAAAUGCGUCAAAGCUCUGAGGCACGUGGAGAGGAUGGAGCUACAGGAGAAAGGGCGGAGUUAACUGAAGAUUCUGUUCCAGGAGACACAGAAACCAGAGCAAACAUCGACAAAGGCAACAAGGAAGACUCGUUGAAGUUGGAGGUGAUGCCGGCUCUGAACAAACAGGAGGGAGACGAGCGGGACAACAAGAGCGCCGAGAGAAGUUUAACGCCUAAAGGUGACGAUGACGAGGAUUUCAGUUUAUUUAUGAUUCAUCCGUUGUUGGUCGCCUGUCCAGUUGUGCCAAGUCAGCGCACUUCCACACGUCCCGUUGGGAGACCAAAGUUUCCUUUCACAACAUGA
This 918-nucleotide long non-coding RNA is filed under the name Nothobranchius furzeri (turquoise killifish). RNAcentral's name for it is "lncRNA (ENSNFUG00015000169.1)". The record is from RNAcentral. Lineage: Eukaryota; Metazoa; Chordata; Actinopteri; Cyprinodontiformes; Nothobranchiidae.